AUUGAACGCUGGCGGCAGGCCUAACACAUGCAAGUCGGACGGUAGCACAGAGGAGCUUGCUCCUCGGGUGACGAGUGGCGGACGGGUGAGUAAUGUCUGGGGAUCUGCCCGAUAGAGAGGGAUAACCACUGGAAACGGUGGCUAAUACCGCAUAACGUCGCAAGACCAAAGAGGGGGACCUUCGGGCCUCUCACUAUCGGAUGAACCCAGAUGGGAUUAGCUAGUAGGCGGGGUAACGGCCCACCUAGGCGACGAUCCCUAGCUGGUCUGAGAGGAUGACCAGCCACACUGGAACUGAGACACGGUCCAGACUCCUACGGGAGGCAGCAGUGGGGAAUAUUGCACAAUGGGCGCAAGCCUGAUGCAGCCAUGCCACGUGUAUGAAGAAGGCCUUCGGGUUGUAAAGUACUUUCAGCGGGGAGGAAGGCGGUGAGGUUAAUAACCUUGCCGAUUGACGUUACCCGCAGAAGAAGCACCGGCUAACUCCGUGCCAGCCGCCGCAGUAA
This 506-nucleotide ribosomal RNA is filed under the name uncultured bacterium. RNAcentral describes it as "partial 16S ribosomal RNA". It matches the Rfam family "Bacterial small subunit ribosomal RNA", at positions 29 to 523 of the family's 1533-position model. The record is from RNAcentral.